RNAcentral lists this long non-coding RNA (914 nucleotides) under Homo sapiens (human). RNAcentral's name for it is "HSALNT0094830". The record is from RNAcentral. Lineage: Eukaryota; Metazoa; Chordata; Mammalia; Primates; Hominidae.
CAUUGUUCUGAUUGACUCAGGCCAGUGGAACAUCUUAAGCUAGUGGUAACUCAACAAUGAUAAUGGAAGAAAUGAAGGUAGCCAGUUCAGGCAUGAAAAUCCCUCUCCUGCUACUGAUACCUCCUGAAAGAAGAAACUGGCAAGAAGGACUGUCACAGUUGGUUACAAUACUACUUCACCUUUCAACAACUCAGUCAUUCCCACACCCAGUGUGCAGUGCGCAUGCCACUGAACUCUGCACAGAAAGAACAUGAAGGGCCAAACCAUACAGAAACAGAAGGGCUACCAGAGAAAAGCGAAGAGUGGGUGGUAUGCUGGAGCAAGCAGAGAGACUCCCACCAAGGGAGAGAAACUCAGGUUAGCGAGAUCUCCACAUUUUCAAUAACGAAUAACAAAGCCUGUUCCAAUGGAUCAUUUAAGAGCCAUGUUAGCUGAAAGAGAUUUUUUUACCCAUGGUUUUUGAAACACCAAUCACCUAUUAAAUGGCUGAGUGCUUUUGUUGCUCAAUAUCAAAUAUUUUGGAAUAUUUUUUCAUUGUCAAAAGUUGCAGUUUGUUCCUUUCUUCCCAAAAGUUUGUUGUUUAAAAAAAUAAAAAACUUUGCCUCGCCAAAGGCAGAAGGAUUGCAUGUAAAUCUUCCAUUUAGCAGUUCAGGGGACUUCAUUCCUCAGUGUGCUUCUUUUAAAGAGAACAAAGCACCUUUUCGCUUCUGCACUUACUGCUUCAUUUGUUCUUGCUCUUUGCUUGUGCUAAAACUGAAGCUCAGACAAGUUAAGUGAUGACUGUUUGACCUUGACUCCAGGAGGCUGUCAUCUAUAUCCAUUCUCCCUUCCCAGGGGCGGUCUCUUUGGGAUCACUUCUAAUACCCACUCUCUGGGAAUCACGGGAGCUCCGGGGCUGAAUACGUGUAACAGAG